AACGGACGCUGGCGGCAUGCCUAACACAUGCAAGUCGAACGAAGCCUUCGGGCUUAGUGGCGCACGGGUGCGUAACGCGUGGGAAUCUGCCCUUGGGUUCGGAAUAACAGUUAGAAAUGACUGCUAAUACCGAAUGAUGUCUUCGGACCAAAGAUUUAUCGCCCAAGGAUGAGCCCGCGUCGGAUUAGCUAGUUGGUGAGGUAAAGGCUCACCAAGGCGACGAUCCGUAGCUGGUCUGAGAGGAUGAUCAGCCACACUGGGACUGAGACACGGCCCAGACUCCUACGGGAGGCAGCAGUGGGGAAUAUUGGACAAUGGGCGAAAGCCUGAUCCAGCAAUGCCGCGUGAGUGAUGAAGGCCUUAGGGUUGUAAAGCUCUUUUACCCGGGAUGAUAAUGACAGUACCGGGAGAAUAAGCCCCGGCUAACUCCGUGCCAGCAGCCGCGGUAAU
Molecule: ribosomal RNA, 450 nt
Filed under: uncultured bacterium
Lineage: Bacteria
Description: bacterial SSU rRNA
Rfam family: Bacterial small subunit ribosomal RNA
Source: RNAcentral